GUAUUGCAGGGAGACAUUUAGGGCAGCACAUUGAGGGACGGCAUUGUGGGACAGUGGAUUUUGCCGGUUGGCGUGUUCGAGGGCGUCUUCUUUCAGGAGCAUCGGGUCGUUUAGUCUUGGAUGGUCUAGUCAGGUACAGGUGCAGGUGAGUCCAGAGGAUGUCGUCAGGAUGGGUAAAAAAUAUCACAGGAAUAAGAAGAAGACAUGUAAACAAAGAAGAUUUCUGGACAGGAUUUAGGAGCAUAUCACAUAGAUUGAAACAGAUCCUAGGUGUUGAUGGCGAUGGGUGGCCUUUUCGCAUGUAUCCCUACAUGGUCUGCGCGUUCGAGAAGAAGUUCGUCGAGUGGUGGGUACGAAGUGCAGAGAGUUAUAUUUUCGGGUGAAAGCAGGCCGCGUCAUCUUUAUCUUCGCAUGGCAAGCAGUGGAUCAUGUACGCAGUCAGCACCUUAAGUAGUUGAGGCGGGAGGAUUC
This 471-nucleotide unclassified non-coding RNA is filed under the name Drosophila ananassae. RNAcentral describes it as "GF27524". Lineage: Eukaryota; Metazoa; Arthropoda; Insecta; Diptera; Drosophilidae. The record is from RNAcentral.